CCGGAGUCUGUCGAGUCCUCUCCCCGCUCUCACAUGGCUGUCGACAAUUUCCAUGAGUCCCUACCACCGGUCCCAAGUGCCAAGCUCCGCCUAAUGUGCAGCUAUGGAGGCCACAUUAUCCCUCGCCCGCACGACAAGUCCCUCUGCUAUGUAGGAGGUGAGACAAGAAUUGUAGUUGUCGAUCGCCACUCCUCUCUCUCUUCCCUAACAUCUCGCCUUUCCCGCAUUCUUCUUGAUGGGCGUUCUCAAUUCACUCUCAAGUACCAGCUACCCCACGAAGACCUCGACUCUCUAGUGUCUGUAACCACAGAUGAAGAUCUUGAUAACAUGGUUGAAGAAUAUGACCGCAUAACUUCAUCGGCGUCAUUGGCUUUAGCUCCCUCUCGUAUCCGCUUGUUCCUUUUCUUUAACAAGCCCGAAACUGCAGCAUCUAUGGGGCCACUUCUUGCUGACUCUAAGUCAGAGACAUGGUUUGUUGAUGCGCUUAAUGGUUCAGGUUUUUUUCCAAGAAAUCUCUCAGAUUCUGCCACCGUAGAUUGCUUGGUGAAUCUUGAUGACGAGCAUCGUCAUCAUGACUUCGAGGCUCAAGCAGAGGGUGUAGAAGGCGCAGAGGGAGAGAGCAAGCAAGAAAAGAAUAAUGUACCGGUGGAAGUACUACAUCAUGAUGUGCAGGCUACGAUGCCAGACUCACCUAUAGUGGAGAAUUGUUCUUCAUUUGGUUCAUCUUCUUCUUCCCCUUCAAUGUGCAACCUGCCGCCUAUUCGGGUUCGUGUGGAAGGUCAUCACAAAGUUGGCGUAGAGGAACAAUUUGCACAGAUGACAUUCGCGCAAGUUGUGCAGAAACAAGAUGAUGGGUGCGGCCUUUUAUCUGCAGCUUUGCCUCCACUUCCCACAGCAGUAGCUGCAGUUGGGAAUGUGGCAACGCUUAAUCCUGCAGGCGGUUCUAGCGAGAACUUGAGUCGGGUUUUAUCAGAUGACGAGAUAUCAGAUCAGGGUAUGCCAGUCACUUUUCGAAAACCACCAUUGCCUCUGAAGCCUGUGCAACAAAAGGCUGGUGCCUGCGGUUACAAUCUGCCUUCACCAGAUUCAGUUGCAAGUGAUUCUGCAAGUUCACUCUCCAAGACCAUGUAUUAUCAAGAACAAUAUCAAGCUGCAUUGGGAGACAGCAGGGCUCCUCUGAACCCAGAUGCAAAAUGUGAAAUUUCAGUCCCAAGCUCUCAAAUCCAAAUCCAACCAGCUCCAAAUCUCGGGUACGGGUCGCCGACACAGUUUGAUCAGCAGCAACAGCAACAAUUGGUACACACCAGCACACAUUUUAUACCCCAUCCUGCCACAACUCCAUUGCCAAUUUCAUCUUACUACCCACUUUAUGCUCCUCCUCCUACUCCAUCACAGCAAGUACAGCCUCAACAACCACUUGAUACGCAAUCCCCUGUAUAUGUAAUGCCUGUUGCACAAACCCAAACAUACAUGUCUGCUCAAUCUAAUAUCGUGGAAACUGCAGCUACUGUAAUAACCCCAAGCCACCCACCA
Molecule: unclassified non-coding RNA, 1533 nt
Filed under: Hevea brasiliensis (rubber tree)
Lineage: Eukaryota; Viridiplantae; Streptophyta; Magnoliopsida; Malpighiales; Euphorbiaceae
Source: RNAcentral